AGUGAACGCUGGCGGUAGGCCUAACACAUGCAAGUCGAACGGCAGCACAGUAAGCGCUUGCUCUUACGGGUGGCGAGUGGCGGACGGGUGAGGAAUACAUCGGAAUCUACUUUUUCGUGGGGGAUAACGUAGGGAAACUUACGCUAAUACCGCAUACGACCUACGGGUGAAAGCAGGGGAUCUUCGGACCUUGCGCGAUUGAAUGAGCCGAUGUCGGAUUAGCUAGUUGGCGGGGUAAAGGCCCACCAAGGCGACGAUCCGUAGCUGGUCUGAGAGGAUGAUCAGCCACACUGGAAUUGAGACACGGUCCAGACUCCUACGGGAGGCAGCAGUGGGGAAUAUUGGACAAUGGGCGCAAGCCUGAUCCAGCCAUACCGCGUGGGUGAAGAAGGCCUUCGGGUUGUAAAGCCCUUUUGUUGGGAAAGAAAAGCAGCAGGUUAAUACCCCGCUGUUCUGACGGUACCCAAAGAAUAAGCACCGGCUAACUUCGUG
This 492-nucleotide ribosomal RNA is filed under the name uncultured bacterium. RNAcentral describes it as "partial 16S ribosomal RNA". It matches the Rfam family "Bacterial small subunit ribosomal RNA", at positions 29 to 507 of the family's 1533-position model. The record is from RNAcentral.